This 405-nucleotide ribosomal RNA is filed under the name uncultured bacterium. RNAcentral describes it as "bacterial SSU rRNA". It matches the Rfam family "Bacterial small subunit ribosomal RNA", at positions 355 to 775 of the family's 1533-position model. The record is from RNAcentral.
UGGGGAAUAUUGCGCAAUGGGCGAAAGCCUGACGCAGCCACGCCGCGUGGGUGAUGAAGGCCUUCGGGUUGUAAAGCCCUGUCGGGAGGGAAGAAGUUCUGACGGUACCUCCCAAGAAAGCACCGGCUAACUCCGUGCCAGCAGCCGCGGUAAUACGGAGGGUGCGAGCGUUGCUCGGAAUUACUGGGCGUAAAGCGUACGCAGGCUGUCUCAUAAGACGGGUGUGAAAGCCCGGGGCUCAACCCCGGAAUUGCGCCCGUGACUGUGGGGCUUGAACGCGGGAGAGGGAAGCGGAAUUCCUGGUGUAGAGGUGAAAUUCGUAGAUAUCAGGAGGAACACCGGUGGCGAAAGCGGCUUCCUGGCCCGACAUUGACGCUCAUGUACGAGAGCGUGGGGAGCAAACAG